CAUUCUUAAACCAAAUAUUUAUUUACAUGUCUCACUUUUUCCCACUUUAUACUUUGUAAAAGCAGAGUACACAAAUUCUUGGAGCUCUGACCCAUCUCAAAUUCCUGAAGGAAUCUCCUUGAGUUAGAUGGAUUCAUCGCUAGACGUUCCUAAUCACAUAACUGCUUCCGAAGAUGAGUUUUGGCCACUUUCUGAUAAGCCAUGGUUUAAUGUGAUACUAAAAAGCACACACAUGAGGCCUACAUAUACCCUAUAUGUUCCAACAGAAGAGUUCGGUGUAUCUCCAUCUUCCAGUGUUGAUGUGGUUUUCACAUAUCUUGGCAAAGAAUGGAAGACGGUUGUUCGGAGAGAAGGCUGUUCCUCGAGGACCUCAAUUAAAUGGAGGGAAUUUGUGACUGACAACCAUCUAAAGGAAGGAGAUGCAUGUGUAUUUGAGUUAACUGAGCGCAGCGAUAAACUCAUAAAGGUCAGAGUUCAAAUUCUCAGAGGUGACUUCCCAUAUGAGUUGCUGAAUAGUGUUGAUGGCGGAACUCGUGAUCAACCUAUUAUCCUAUGAUAUGGUUUUUAACAACUCUUAUAACUAUUAACAGAUUUUGUCAGGUUUCAUUGUUUUGCAGUUGUGUUAUCUUUGUCUUUGUAUUUAUGUAGGAACUUAAUGAUGAUUUAAGAAUGCAGUAGCUUCUUCCAUGGUCAUCUUAUUAGUCAAGUUGCUCAAUUGCUGAAACAGAUAACCAUGUGUCAAUUUUUGAGCUCAAGCACAUUGUAUUUAUAGUUUUACUUCACUGCUAGUGCACAUAUGCCUUUUUUUAA
Molecule: RNA transcript, 810 nt
Organism: Daucus carota subsp. sativus
Lineage: Eukaryota; Viridiplantae; Streptophyta; Magnoliopsida; Apiales; Apiaceae
Gene name: B3 domain-containing protein Os06g0112300
Exons: 3
Source: RefSeq, a predicted model, not a curated record